Molecule: long non-coding RNA, 677 nt
Filed under: Daphnia pulicaria
Lineage: Eukaryota; Metazoa; Arthropoda; Branchiopoda; Diplostraca; Daphniidae
Description: uncharacterized LOC124311716, transcript variant X2
Source: RNAcentral
ACCAAUAUAAUAGGCAAUAUAUUUGGUAAUAGGCUAUGCUUGAGAUAUUAAAAUUUUCCCUCCCUCCCACCACCCGCCAAAAACUUUUUGGCGGGUUAAUUAGAAUAUUAGUGUCGUCUGCUGCUUUCGUUUUUCGUUAGAGUUUUCAGUUUCGAAAAAGCAGCAAAGAGAAAAGAAGCAUGGACGUAGACAAAGUUUCAGAGUUUUAUAUUAUAGAAAACUGAACGGAUCACUGGUUUUGGAAAAAAAACUUGUACGUGGCUGCAAUAGAAAUAGGCAUAUGAAUAGAAUGAUUUUGGGAGCUUAUACAGAAGAGUUAAACCACUGUUCCAAAUUUGUCUAAUGUUGGUGCCUGACUACAGUGACUAGUAUUUAUCAUGUCUGAGCCAGCCAUCGUAACCACCAAGAUGUGCAAGUUUUGAUACUAACCUGUCAUCACCAACAAUCUCAGCAUCAUCAAUUGGAUAAACAGCUCCUAGUGUAAUUGGAAAAAAUAUGUCCUCGUGUACACCCAUGUGAGUGUGGGGGUAUUCACGAAGGCCCCUUUUCCUAUCCUGCUGCCUGGCGUCAACGUCAACUUUACUGAGGAUUGGUACUUAUGGAUGCCUGGCUGUGGAUUUCCCGGGCAUAAAGGUAGGAGAAAUUCUCUCUAUCCUUUUCUUUUGCUGCGUUGGUUU